Molecule: RNA transcript, 1490 nt
Organism: Rosa chinensis
Lineage: Eukaryota; Viridiplantae; Streptophyta; Magnoliopsida; Rosales; Rosaceae
Gene name: pseudouridine-5'-phosphate glycosidase
Exons: 14
Source: RefSeq, a predicted model, not a curated record
AGUUAUACAGUAUAACUGUCAGAGACUUAAAUGGGAAAUUUUUUAAGUGACGGGGGAGUUUGAACUUUGAACCGAAGCGAUAGGAGCUUUGAAAUCAAGAGGCUUAAGUUUGUUUGGGUAAUUUAUUGAUCGGUGGGACUUGAUUAUUUACCGAAGAAAAGGGUUGGGGUGUUUUAGCAUCUGACGAUCGAGUAGUAUCAAUCAAGCAUGGCGUCGGCGUCGGCGUCGUCGUCGUCUUCAGCUCUCUCAAGACUGUCCAGUAUCAGCAGACACUUCAAUCCCUCCCACCCAAACAAGGACGGUGUGGCCUUAAUCAAGAUUUCUCCAGAGGUUUCCGAAGCUUUGUCAAUUGGGCGUGCCGUCGUUGCUCUUGAAUCCACCAUUAUUUCCCAUGGGAUGCCGUAUCCCAAGAAUUUGGAGACUGCAAAGGAGGUUGAGGCAAUUGUCAGGGAAAAUGGGGCUGUUCCUGCCACCAUUGCUAUCUUGGAUGGCACACCUUGCAUAGGUCUAACUAUAGAAGAACUGGAGAGGCUUGCCAGAUUGGGUCCAAGAGCUCAGAAGACAGCUCGAAGAGACAUUGCACAUGUUGUGGCAACCAGAGGGAACGGUGCAACUACUGUUUCUGCAACCAUGAUUUUUGCUCAUAUGGUUGGCAUCCCAUUGUUUGUAACGGGAGGAAUUGGAGGAGUACAUCAACAUGGCGAGCAUACAAUGGACAUAUCUUCUGAUCUUACUGAGCUUGGAAGGACACCUGUAGCUGUCAUCUCUGCUGGUGUAAAAUCAAUUUUGGAUAUCCCAAGGACCCUCGAAUAUUUGGAAACACAGGGAGUUUGUGUAGCUGCUUACAAGACCAAUGAAUUUCCAGCAUUUUUCACAGAAGCAAGUGGCUGCAAGGUGCCUUGCCGUGUAGAUACCCCAGAUGAUUGCGCUCGGCUUAUAGAUGCAAACCUUAAACUUGAGCUUGGAACUGGAAUGUUGAUUGCUGUUCCAAUUCCUAAAGAACACUCGGCUUCUGGAAAUUUAAUUGAGUCUGCAAUACAGACAGCUCUUAGAGAAGCUAGGGAUAAGAACAUAACAGGCAAUGCUGCUACUCCAUUCUUGCUUGCAAGAGUAAAUGAACUAACUGGAGGAGCAUCUUUGGCUUCGAACAUUGCCCUGGUGAAGAAUAAUGCACUUGUUGGUUCUAAAAUUGCUGUAGCACUUUCCCAGAUCAGAGAAUGUUGUAGAAAAGGUGGUUUGGAGUAAGCACUAGCUCUAAAGUAUUUUUAUCCAGAUCUGGCAAACACUUGAGCUUGAUGUUUUUCCUUUUCUUACUUUCACUUUGGGAGGAUAUGAUUGACUACUUGUGGAGGCAGAACAUCAUUCAAUUUAGUCUCAUUCCAAUGGGAAAUUUGAAUAUAAUCCGCAACAACUUAAGAGGUGUUAAUACUAUACUUUUGAGAAUCAUGAAUGAAAUUCAGAAGAGGGAAUGGAUGUGCCCAAUUAAACAA